UUGGGACUUGUCUAAACCUAAGGCGAAAUGAAAGUGAACGUCCGCCUCGCGCGGACACAGGGAGGAUGGGCGAGCCCUCGGGCCGCUCCGCACUCCCGGGGCGUCUCGUUCUCAUUGCGAGGGGAGGCGCACCCAGAGCGUACACGCUGGGACCCGAAAGAUGGUGAACUAUGCCUGGUCAGGACGAAGUCAGGGGAAACCCUGAUGGAGGUCCGUAGCGAUUCUGACGUGCAAAUCGAUCGUCGGAACUGGGUAUAGGGGCGAAAGACUAAUCGAACCAUCUAGUAGCUGGUUCCCUCCGAAGUUUCCCUCAGGGUGGCGGGCGCUCGCCGUGUGCGAGUCUCAUCCGGUAAAGCGAAUGAUUAGAGGCAUUGGGGUCGAAACGGCCUCAACCUAUUCUCAAACUUUAAAUGGGUGAGAUCUCCGGCUUGCUCGAACACAAGUGAAGCCGCGAGAUCGGAUCAGAGUGCCAAGUGGGCCACUUUUGGUAAGCAGAACUGGCGCUGUGGGAUGAACCAAACGCAGAGUUAAAGCGCCCAAAUCGACGCUUAUGGGAUACCAUGAAAGGCGUUGGUAACUUAAGACAGCAGGACGGUGGCCAU
Molecule: ribosomal RNA, 602 nt
Filed under: Nigidius delegorguei
Lineage: Eukaryota; Metazoa; Arthropoda; Insecta; Coleoptera; Lucanidae
Description: eukaryotic LSU rRNA
Rfam family: Eukaryotic large subunit ribosomal RNA
Source: RNAcentral